Molecule: long non-coding RNA, 2601 nt
Organism: Pantherophis guttatus
Lineage: Eukaryota; Metazoa; Chordata; Lepidosauria; Squamata; Colubridae
Source: RefSeq, a predicted model, not a curated record
UUUAGGACUUGGAGUAACACAAGGAGUUGUUUAAGAGCAAAACUGCUGACAGCGGUUUUGAGGAUGGAAUUGGAUUGAGAUGUUUACUGUUUUACGGAAGCUCUUGAACAAGAUUAGUUUAAAGACAGUGGCACCUGAUGGAUAGAUUAGUUUUGACUUCACACUAUAAUGGUAGUUGAUGAACUGACAUUUGGCUUUCAAGAUCUGAGAACCUGUCCAGAAAUUACUAUUUUCAAAUACAUUGGAAGAUAUUUUGGAAUUGGGCGUGGGUGCCAAGAGUCCUGGAUAACUACUGCUGCUUCAUUACUGGGGGGAUGAUUCAUGACUCCGCUGGCGGCUUUCUGCCACCUAGUCGCCGUGAGAGGGCGGCUGCGGCUAAUUCCCCCGGAUUAAAAAAAAAAUUGUCGCAGUUGACUUAACUUUUCAUUGCUGUGAGAGAGCGGUGAAUCUUUUUCCGGCUUUCCCACAGCCAGCUGCAGUGGUACUGCAUCGGCCGUCUCCUGCUUACCAUCUCCGGCGCCCACAGUCGCCUUUCAUCUACCCCCUAUAUUUCUUCAACUGGCUUAUACUUCGGUGGACCUCCUCUCGCUGCGAGAUGCUCCCCUCUCGCGGUCAUGGCCUUCCUAUUUAUCGAAGGCCUACCUCAAUGAUGAGUUUUGGAAACCCGAGUGGUGGCAUGCUCCAAAGCGGGGCCUGAGGGGCUUUUUAAUUAGAGUUUUUAACCAAAUUUUAAGGGGACCUGGGAGGCGGGUGGGGAGGAAUGAGCCGGGGGUGGCUCUUAUGGUUCAGCAACCUGGCCCGUCCGAUGGUUGGGGGGGGAGUGGGAGGGAAAGAAGAAGCUAGGUGGAGAGAGGGUCUUUCAAUCCCUGUGAUGGUUGGGAGAGGCAGGCAAUGUGAGAGGAGGGGUUAUGGAGAUAGCCGCCGUUGUGUCCAAACGGUGGUGUGCUCCCCCCCAGGCUCUCCCUGCUCCCCCGCGGAUAUAGGAGUGCGGAGCCCUGGACUCCGGCUGGUGUACCUAAAUGCCAGGUCCGUGAUGAACAAGGCCCUCCUCGUGCGAGAUUUAAUUGAUGAGGACGCGGACCUGGCCUGCAUCACGGGGACCUGGUUAGGGCCGGAGGGAGAUGUCCCUCUAUCCGACUUACGUCCCUUAUGCUUUAUAGCGAAGGUUGUGGAGUCCGUGGUGGCACAGCAGCUCCCUCAGUUCCUGGAGGAAACUGAGUACCUGGACCCGUACCAAUUGGGUUUCAGGCACGGUUACAGCACGGAAACUGCAUUGGUCGCCCUAGUGAAUGAUCUCUGGCAGGCCCGGGAUGGGGGUUGCUCCUCCAUCCUAGUCCUUCUUGACCUCUCAGCGGCUUUUGAUACCAUCAAAAGCCGCUGGUAUCCUACUGCAGCGACGGGGGGGGUUGGGGGUAGGAGGCACCAUUUUACAGUGGUUCUCCUACCUCUCUGGCCGCUCACAGUUUGUAUGGACAGGGGACAGAGAUCCUCCCUGAGGAUGUGGGGUGCCUCGGGGGUCGGUUCUCCCCCCCUGCUCUUUAACAUCUAUAUGAAGCCGCUGGAUGAGAUCAUUUGUGGUUUUGGGGUGAAGUACCAUCAAUAUGCUGAUGAUACUCAGCUUUAUAUCUCCACCCUGGGGAUCCCCUUUCCGUGAUGUCCCAGGUGGGCCUGGAUGGGAAGAAACAGACUCGGACUCAACCCAUCCAAGACUGAGUGGCUGUGGAUCCCGGCAUCUCGUGAUCUAGUGGUCCCGUCACUUGUGAUAGGAGGGGAGGUACUCACUCCCUCAGAAAGGGUUCGCAAUCUGGGUGUCCUGGAUUCACGGCUAUCCUUAGAAGAUCAUUUGACGGCCGUGACCAGGGGGGCCUUCACACAAGUGCGCCAGUUGCGCCCUUUCCUAGACCAGGAUGCCCUCGCCACGGUCACUCACGCCCUUGUUACUUCUCAGUUGGACUACUGUAACGCCCUCUACAUGGGGCUGCCCUUGGGAUGCACCCGGAGGCUACAGCUAGCCCAGAAUGCGGCCACGCGAGUUGUUACGGGGGCUUCUUGUUACUCCCGUGUGACACCUGCGCGAGCUGCACUGGCUGCCGGUGGUCCUUCUGGUCCGUUUCAAGGUGCUGGUGCUCACCUAUAAAGCCCUACAUGGCUUAGUCCCGGGGUACUUGUAGGAUCAUCUCCUGCCAUCCUCGCAUCAUCCCGUGCGCUCCCACAGUGGGCCGCCUCAGGGUGCCGUCAGCCAGACAAUGUCAGCUGGCGGCCCCUAGGGGGAAAGCAUUCUCUGGGAGCGCCGACCCUCUGGAACGGUUUGCCCACCAGGCUUAGGACAGCCCCCAACCUCCACUCCUUCCGCCGCAAACUAAAGACGUGGCUCUUUUAUCAAAUGGGCUGAUCCGUUGGGGGAUUUUUACAUUGAAAUAAUUUUAAUAAAUUUUAAUUGGAUUUUAAUUUUUUAUGUAAUUUUUGAAUUGUUGAAUGUUUUCUUUGUAAGCCGCCCUGAGUCUUUUGGGAGAAGUGGCAUAUAAAUUACAUAAAUAAAUCUAAACUAGAUGUCAUUAGAUUAAAAAGAUAAACACUGCAAUAAAGAUUUUACUUCCUGAA